This 1614-nucleotide ribosomal RNA is filed under the name Vibrio diazotrophicus. Its description in RNAcentral is "bacterial LSU rRNA". It matches the Rfam family "Bacterial large subunit ribosomal RNA", at positions 1223 to 2819 of the family's 2925-position model. The record is from RNAcentral. Lineage: Bacteria; Pseudomonadati; Pseudomonadota; Gammaproteobacteria; Vibrionales; Vibrionaceae.
AUUGGGUAGGGGAGCGUUCUGUAAGCCGUUGAAGGUGUGUUGUAAAGCAUGCUGGAGGUAUCAGAAGUGCGAAUGCUGACAUGAGUAACGAUAAAGGGGGUGAAAAACCUCCUCGCCGGAAGACCAAGGGUUCCUGUCCAACGUUAAUCGGGGCAGGGUGAGUCGACCCCUAAGGCGAGGCCGAAAGGCGUAGUCGAUGGGAAACGGGUUAAUAUUCCCGUACUUCUUACAAUUGCGAUGGGGGGACGGAGAAGGCUAGGUGGGCCUGGCGACGGUUGUCCAGGUUCAAGUGCGUAGGCUUGAGAGUUAGGUAAAUCCGGCUCUCUUUAAGGCUGAGACACGAUGUCGAGCUACUACGGUAGUGAAGUCAUUGAUGCCAUGCUUCCAGGAAAAGCCUCUAAGCUUCAGAUUGUAAGGAAUCGUACCCCAAACCGACACAGGUGGUCGGGUAGAGAAUACCAAGGCGCUUGAGAGAACUCGGGUGAAGGAACUAGGCAAAAUGGUACCGUAACUUCGGGAGAAGGUACGCUCUUGACGGUGAAGUCCCUUGCGGAUGGAGCUGAUGAGAGUCGCAGAUACCAGGUGGCUGCAACUGUUUAUUAAAAACACAGCACUGUGCAAAAUCGUAAGAUGACGUAUACGGUGUGACGCCUGCCCGGUGCCGGAAGGUUAAUUGAUGGGGUUAGACUUCGGUCGAAGCUCUUGAUCGAAGCCCCGGUAAACGGCGGCCGUAACUAUAACGGUCCUAAGGUAGCGAAAUUCCUUGUCGGGUAAGUUCCGACCUGCACGAAUGGCGUAAUGAUGGCCACGCUGUCUCCACCCGAGACUCAGUGAAAUUGAAAUCGCUGUGAAGAUGCAGUGUACCCGCGGCUAGACGGAAAGACCCCGUGAACCUUUACUACAGCUUGGCACUGAACAUUGAACCUACAUGUGUAGGAUAGGUGGGAGGCUUUGAAGCGCAGACGCUAGUUUGUGUGGAGCCGUCCUUGAAAUACCACCCUUGUAUGUUUGAUGUUCUAACUCAGACCCGUUAUCCGGGUCGAGGACAGUGCCUGGUGGGUAGUUUGACUGGGGCGGUCUCCUCCCAAAGAGUAACGGAGGAGCACGAAGGUGGGCUAAACACGGUUGGACAUCGUGUGGUUAGUGCAAUGGCAUAAGCCCGCUUGACUGCGAGAAUGACAAUUCGAGCAGGUGCGAAAGCAGGUCAUAGUGAUCCGGUGGUUCUGAAUGGAAGGGCCAUCGCUCAACGGAUAAAAGGUACUCCGGGGAUAACAGGCUGAUACCGCCCAAGAGUUCAUAUCGACGGCGGUGUUUGGCACCUCGAUGUCGGCUCAUCACAUCCUGGGGCUGAAGUCGGUCCCAAGGGUAUGGCUGUUCGCCAUUUAAAGUGGUACGCGAGCUGGGUUUAGAACGUCGUGAGACAGUUCGGUCCCUAUCUGCCGUGGGCGUUGGAGAAUUGAAGGGGGCUGCUCCUAGUACGAGAGGACCGGAGUGGACGAACCUCUGGUGUUCGGGUUGUUACGCCAGUAGCAUUGCCCGGUAGCUAAGUUCGGAAUUGAUAACCGCUGAAAGCAUCUAAGCGGGAAGCAAGCCCUGAGAUGAGUUCUCCCUGGC